UACGGGGGGGGCAAGCGUUGUUCGGAAUUACUGGGCGUAAAGGGCUCGUAGGCGGCCAACUAAGUCAGACGUGAAGUCCCCAGGCUCAACCUGGGAACUGCGUCUGAUACUGGAUGGCUUGAAUUCGGGAGAGGGAUGCAGAAUUCCAGGUGUAGCGGUGAAAUGCGUAGAUAUCUGGAGGAAUACCGGUGGCGAAGGCGGCAUCCUGGACCGACAUUGACGCUGAUGAGCGAAAGCUAGGGGAGCAAACGGG
RNAcentral lists this ribosomal RNA (253 nucleotides) under uncultured bacterium. RNAcentral's name for it is "partial 16S ribosomal RNA". It matches the Rfam family "Bacterial small subunit ribosomal RNA", at positions 524 to 776 of the family's 1533-position model. The record is from RNAcentral.